AUUACCCCUCAUACCCGGACGUCACUUUAAAUAGCCUACCUGCCUCUCUUCCAUCAUCUUGUACAACGAACCAUAAAAUCCACUAUGUCACUUGAACUCUGUGUCUGAUCCGUGACAGCAAGCCGCAGUCAUCAAGAACCAGGUUGGGGACAAACAAAACAAAAGGAAAACAACUCUAAAUUUAUUUCCCCCGCAUUUAUAUCGACACGGGAGAAGAUUUUGAGAAAGAAAGUGCGACAUUUAUUUUUUUUUGACACAAGGAGGAAACUAUAAACGGAUUCAGUUGCUGGACGAUGUGUAACUUAGAGCUACUUUAAUGGCGAAAUAUUCAUGAAAUCCUCCCGGCUACGACACACAGGACGAGGAGGAGCAGAAGAAGCAGAAGCCGUCAUUCCACCCCCGCCCGAUGAGCACAUUUUCAGCCCGCAUUACCUGUCUGCACACGGCGAAGAGACGAGAGGAUGUUAUCUCGGUUAAAUGAGAUGAUAUGGGCCGACUGGAUCUGGUUCCCAGAAGGCUACGGCUGGGACGACCUGAAGGAUCACGAUGGGAAAGUCUUCCCUAAAACUCGGGACCUGUGGGCGGUUCUCCCCGUCUCACUCUGCUUCCUUGUCAUCAGACAGAUAUUUGAGCAGACAAUAGCACUUCCUUUAGCGUCUCUGCUGGGAGUGAGAGACAAGCACCGUGUCUGUGCGUCGCCUAAUCCCGUCCUGGAGUCUCACUUCUGUAGCAAAUCUAAACAUCCCACACAGAGCUCCGUAGAGAGUUUAAGUAAACAGACGGGAUGCUCGGUGCAACAGGUGCAGAGCUGGUUCAGGCGACGGAGAAAUCAAGACCGACCCAACAAGCUCAAGAAGUUUCAGGAAGCGAGUUGGAGGUUUACAUUUUACCUUCUUGCUUUCUUUGCUGGCCUGGCAGUCCUUGUUGAUAAACCGUGGUUCCACGAUGUGAAACUGGUUUGGGAAAACUUCCCCAAAAUGCCGCUGUUGACCUCCCAGUACUGGUACUACAUGAUCGAGCUCGGCUUCUACGUCUCCCUGGUUUUCAGCUUGGCAUCGGAUGUCAAGCGGAAGGAUUUCAAAGAGCAAAUCGUUCACCAUGUGGCUACCAUCCUCCUCAUCAGCUUCUCCUGGCUGGUCAACUACAUCCGAGCCGGGACUUUGAUCAUGUUGGUGCACGACGCCUCUGACUAUCUUAUGGAGUCGGCCAAAAUGUUUAACUACGCAGGCUGGAAAAAAACCUGCAACUUCAUCUUCACCGUGUUCGCUGCAGUUUUCAUCAUCACCCGCCUCAUCAUCUUCCCCUUCUGGAUCAUAUAUGCAACAGGCGUGUACCCGCUGUCCCUCUACUCCACCUUCUUCGGCUUCUACUUCUUCAACGGGCUGCUGGUGGUGCUGCUGAUUCUGCACGUCUUCUGGACGGGACUCAUCCUGCGCAUGGUCAUCAAAUUCCUGCCAGGAAAUGACAUCGUGGAGGACGAGCGCAGCGAUAAGGAGGAGACAGAGUCGGACGACGAAGACGACUGCGGCAAGCCGAAGAACGGCCACGUGCAGAACGGUCGCUCUGCCCUCAAAAACCACAGGAAAAGAGACUGACUGGGCAGAAAGGGAGAGACUGGGUGAUUUAAAGACAACAACAAAAAAGAAAGGAAACGCAGUCAGCUCCGAGGGGAUGGCUCGGCCUCUCUGUGGAUUACACUAAGAUAGAAAAGGAGCCGUUACGAUCCCGUUUGCCUCCAAGCAGCAGAACAAAUUUCCACUUCUAUGUUUUUCCUCUUUGCCAGUCCGCCUGCUCGCAGCUUUGUUUUCUUGAUGGGAAUAUUUCCUGGAAACUCGGCGCUUCAGAUGGUUUCUCCCGUCCCACACAGCUCAUUAACGCUCUUUCGAGUGUCGACCUAAAAACUUGAGUUAUUUUUGCUCUAAAUAAACGCACUGACGCCAGAGAUGAUGUGAUGAGCACUACUGUAAAUGUGGCGGUGAUUUCUUUUUUUUUUUUUCUUUUUUUUUUUUCCUCCUAUGGACCAUAAAUUGCCUUUAGUCCAAAUUUUUAUUCAAUUACAAAAAAAACAUAAAAUAAAGGUUUCUGCUGCAUUUCUUUCGCUCUGGCUCUUUUCGGCUAAACAUUGCGCCUCCAGCGAGGUUUAAGACGAAACAAUUGCUAAAUAAUAAUAAUUGUAAUAGUGCGAGUGAAGGUGCCUAGCUUGCCAUAUGAACUGAAAUGUGCCUUUGGAGAAAUGUGUCUUUAAAUACUCACUUUUCUGAGAGAUGGUUUGUUUUAAAUGUUUGUUUUGUUUAAAAAUCUUUUAAGUUUUCUCAUUUUUCUUUCAUCGUUUAAUUCUCUUAGUGCGGCCAAAACGUUACAAUUUGGGAGCAAAGUGUUUGAUUAAGUCGAUCAGUAAAUGUUGAUUCUUUUCUGGCCGGAGUAAUCCAAAGCAUAUCCAUUUAGUAUACUUGUUUUUAUUUUUUUUAUCAUCAUUAUUAUUAUUAUUAUUUAUGUCACGGUCAUCUUGAGAUGCACUUUACGGUUCUUAGGCGAUCAGUAUUGACUGAAAAAAACUGGUGAAUCAUUUUAGUUGCAGUGUUUGAUUCAGAUUUCAAAUCAUUAUUUGUUUGGAGGUUCAAAAAAUAAUUUCAAUCGUUUUUUUUUUUUUUUAGGUUUUUUWAAAAAUAUUUAUUCACGUGAAUAUUCAUUUGUUUUGAUAGAAUUUUUUGGUUUAGCUAUGAGCAAAGAAAGAUGGUAGUGAGUAAACAAAACGUAACGCCAAAUUGUUGUUUACACUUUCUAAGACGUUAUUUGCAAGUGCCUUCAUCAUUUCAACUGUUAAAUUGUUAGAAAAACUAAAUCUUCUUCUUGACCAAUCACACGCAGCUCUCCGUUGACAACUUUGCUUCUGCUGAAGUGUUCUUAUCCUCCCAGAGUUGUACAUUUCUAACAUGGAUGACAUAAAUUCGUGUGGAAAACGUUUGUUUUUGCUGCAUUUAUUUCUGAAGAUGAUGUUGAAAUGUUUUUAUGGACUUUAUUUCUGAACUGAAAAAUUUUUUUCAUUGAAGAUUGCUUUGUGUUUUCUUUGCAUUUUGUAGACAAAUAAUAUGACUAGUUGGGUAAAUACAAAA
Molecule: RNA transcript, 3113 nt
Organism: Poecilia reticulata (guppy)
Lineage: Eukaryota; Metazoa; Chordata; Actinopteri; Cyprinodontiformes; Poeciliidae
Gene: cers2a
Gene name: ceramide synthase 2a
Source: RefSeq, a predicted model, not a curated record